Molecule: long non-coding RNA, 610 nt
Filed under: Salvia miltiorrhiza (redroot sage)
Lineage: Eukaryota; Viridiplantae; Streptophyta; Magnoliopsida; Lamiales; Lamiaceae
Description: long non-coding RNA (SMIL_LNC003218)
Source: RNAcentral
AAGUUCCGGGCGGCGCUCGUCGCCGGGCAAGAUGGAGCAGUCGAGGGCAAGAUGGAGCAGUUGAGGGAGAGGAGAGUCAAGGGUGGCGGCGUAUUCGGCGGUGGCUGUCGUUGUCCGCCGGAGGAGAUUCGGGGGAGAGAAGGGGCGGGUUUGGCGUGAAGAGGGAGAGAAGAGAGAGGCAAGAGAGGCGUGUGUGUGUGAGCGGCUGAAGGGGGGGAAGAAAAGGGGGAUAAGUGUGGAUUAGGGCUUGGUUAGAGUUUGGGCCGAUUUUUAAUGGGCUGGGUUUUUUUUUUUUUUGAUUUAAUUUUCAGUGGGCUUGUGAAUUGGGUUGAUUUUAAUUGAGAGUUGGGCCGAUUUUCUUUGCUUGAAAUUUCGAAUUGGGCUGAGUAUUUGGGCCGAGAAUUUUAUUUAUUUUUGUUUCAGCUGGGCUUUUAAUUAUUAAAUCUGUUGGGCCUUUACUAAUUUAUUUAAUUGGGCUGUGCAGUUUCUUUAUUUUAAAAUGGACUACACUAUUUAAUUAAUUAGACUUAUUAAGUUUGAUUAAUUAUUUUAAAUUUUUAUAAUAAUAUUAAAUUAUUAUUAUGUGCAUAUUUUAAGUAAUUACUUAUUA